Molecule: long non-coding RNA, 1001 nt
Organism: Astatotilapia calliptera (eastern happy)
Lineage: Eukaryota; Metazoa; Chordata; Actinopteri; Cichliformes; Cichlidae
Source: Ensembl
AGUAGACUGAUAUUUGAAAUAUUCCUUUAUUGGGUGAGAAAAUAAGACCAUGUCAUAACUGCUUUAAGUCAUACAGAAUAGAUAUCAGAGCCUUAAACAGGCUGACUUCUGCUAAAUGGGUCAAACUGGGCAGAAAGUAUACAAACACAUAACAUCCUUACAGAAUAUGAUGUAACACUAUAGAUCAACUUACCUCAGAAUAUAUAAAGCAUAUAAACAAUUACAGCAAUAUGAUGCAACAAACACAGCAGUGCUACUAAUCCAAACAUACUCAAAGCUUCAUAGAACUGAAACAAACAUUUAUUUUUAGCUCCAUUCUGCUGCUGAUACAUACUUUAUGUUUCUGAAUAUUAAACUUGUUGCUGCCUUUCAUAGUGUGUAACUUGAAGGCCCUGAGUACUUUCUCCCAUAGCUGGACUGGCCAUCGGGCAUACCGGGCAUUUGCCCGGUGGGCCGCUGGCGAUUUUUUGUUUUUAUGGGCCGAUGGAUUUUUUUAUUUUUUUUUUAGGAAGGGUAUAUAUAAUGAAAGGUGUUGGAUUGGCCAAUUGGUCAUGAUCGACUCUGGGCUGGACCAAUUACAGCCGAGGAGGCCGGAUGCACCCUCCCCCUUGUUUAGCAAUCACGUGAUUUUCGCGCAUUGCAUGCCGGGAACUCGUGGCAAAACAAUCCAAGUACCGCAUCAAAUGCAAGCAUUUGCAGCACCGCAAAACGUUCAUACCUUCUUGUUUUUUCUUUGCCGCACAAAAAAGGAAUGUACAAAACAAAAGGAGAACAAUGCCGGUCCAUACAAAGACAGACUUGAUGAAAAGUCAAAGAAAAGAUACGAGGAAAAAAAUCAAAGGAGUGAAAGGGUCAGACCCUUACGAGCACACAGAGGGACAAAAGACGUUAGCGUGCUGCCCAACUUUCACCACGCUCAGAUUUAUAAUUAUACGGUUCUUGGAGUGAGUGCAUACACUCAUGAAGUUUAGUAACUUCAGGUCACUGCAACAAGCCCAGGU